Taeniopygia guttata (zebra finch) is the source of this 11559-nucleotide non-coding RNA. The record is from RefSeq and is a predicted model, not a curated record. NCBI's taxonomy places the organism in Eukaryota, Metazoa, Chordata, Aves, Passeriformes, Estrildidae.
AGACCUUGUGUGGUUUUUUGUGUCUGUCAGUAAUCAGGAGCAAAAAAGAGACUUUUUUCUCUAAUUGUCCAUCUAAUUUUCUUUAACUGAGGAAAUGGCUCUUUUUGUGGACAUUUCUCUCCAUUGGGCAGGUUAGAGGGACUGCUUUGGGCAUCUUGUGCAGUGCUUGAAUGAAUGGGAGGAAAAGUGCCUCUUGGUGCACGACAGUUAUUCAUUGCCUCCUCCUUGAGAAGGAGGUUAGUGUAUCACAGCAUGAUUAAGGGCAAGAGAAUCUUACUUUAAAUCAGAGAAAGAUUGGGAAGAAAUUAAAAUUUACUUCCUCAGGCCACAUAUAUUUUUCUUCUCACUGCUGUCUUUCCUCCAUCACGGAGCUCUGGCACUGUUGGCAUGUACAAUCCAAUGGGUACAGCAGGGCCAGCAGCGUGAUGGAUUUCAACGUCACAGAGAGAGUACUGAGUGAAGCACACGGGGAAAAAAGAGAAAAGAAAAGAUCCUUGGAUUUCAUUGCACAAAUAAAUGCCAGAAUGAAACAGGUCUGGUAUGACUUCAGCUCCCUGCUACCCAAAGUCAAUCACACCGAAAUGCUCAUACAAGCAAGAAAUACUGUACCGCUCUGGCACAGGUGAAAUAUUGUGUCUAGAAUAAACCUUUUUGACCACUUCAAUGCUGCCUAAAACUUAAGAAUAGACUUAGCAAUAUUUUAGAGGAGGCUAGAACUUUUCACCCAACCAUAUAGCAAGGGUAAUUAGUACUGCAGUUUGUCAAGGCUGGGUUGGAGGACAGAUGCUGAGCUGUGGGGCCCCAGCUGAAGCUUUCCUCACCCAUUUUAAGUGCUGUGCAUUGAAUACAAGAGGUGUGUGUCCUACACUGUGCCAUCACCAAUCCUCAGCCUAAUUUUUUUUUUUUUGUGCAGCACAGGUCCAUAUUUCCCGUGGUGAGCCAAGGUGUUCCCAGCUGUGUCCUCAGCUGUUACAGCUAGGACCCCAGAGAUAAAGAGCGGGAGCAGAGCUCUCAGAGGAAAGGCAAAGGUGACUUGGCACCUCCAUGUGUUGCUGACUGAAAUGGAGGCAAAACUGCUUAUUAAACAACCAGAAUUUGCAGUUUCCAUCUGCCCCAAGCUGGACUUCGGGCUAGAGGUGUAGCUGCAGGCUGCUGAUCUCCUAAGAAGCACAGGAUUUGGGGUCUGUCUGUGCCACAGUACCAAGAGGUUGUUUAUCUCUUUCUGGGAAGGUUUUAACCCAAGACUUAUAAUCCUGUGCAAUAGUGUCAGCCUCAGAAAACGGAUGCAACAGCUAAGCCACAGUCAUAGACAAGGUUUUUGCACAGGAGAGUGGACAUAUGGAGGACACGCACAUUGUUAUCUGCUUCUUUCAGUGUGCCUGAAGGACAGACACAAAGCCUCCUGCACUGCUUAGCUGCAACAAGUGCCAGGAGAAAAGGGAAGUCCCAUGCACGGAAGCCAAGCUUCUAGCUGCAGCCAAUGGAAAAGGAAAAAUCCAGAGGUGAGCAAAGGCCAGAAUAUCACCCAGCCAGCAGCUGAUAAAACUUAGGCUUGACAGACCCUUCCUUUCCCUGGAGCUGUCUGGGUUCAGCUUUCAUCCUUCCUCCAUGAUUUGGAGUAGUGACUAAUUCUCUUGACUUUGGAAGACCUCCUCACUGACUGUGGUGUUUUGGGAAGCAAAGAUGUCUUGGGAGAUGGCUCUCCUUCCUAGAACUAUUCAAGGAAUAUGUGGGAAGAUACUCCAAAAAGCCAGAAACCUUUGUCCAAACAUGCUCUAAUUUCACUUUAUUUUUCUCCCAAGGAGACCACCUGCUCUCAGGCAGCAAAGGGCAGCAGCUGUGCAGGGCUCUUGCAAGUCCUUACAGCCCCUGAUUGUCCUCAGCUGGGCCUGCUAACUGGUAUUUAAGCUCCAGCUGAGGAGCACAGUUGGCUGUUGUUUCUCCUGCUUGGCUGCUGGGGGUGCUGGGCUCUAUCUUUGAGGCAGACUUCAUGGCCCCUGUCCUGCAUAACGGUGUGUGUUGGAAUAACAGGUGUAUGAGGACAGGGUGAUCACCUUCCUGGUGGAAUGCAGAAGUGAAACACUGCAGGAGCAAAAUUCACGAGCCAAGAGAGCAGGUCACUGACCCUCCUUCGAUCAGCACACAGCAGUUUCUCAUUCUUUAGAGUGGAUUUUGAGAUUUGAAAAUAGAAAUUAAAUCCCUCAAAGUAUCACAGGAAGAGAAUGGACUCACAAGAUGAUAAAAAUAUUGUCACCUUUAUCAUAUUUUUCAAAGGAGUGUGCCCUUCCGAAAACUUGUGAACAAAUAAUGUCUCCAGAAGAUGUCUGAUGUAGUGUAAACAGUGACAGAAGCAGGCCAAGCUGCAAGAGAAAAAAAAAAAAGAAAGGAAAUUAAGCACUCUACAAAUAUGCAAAGCAGAGUGAAGAGACCGCCCUUGGUUUGUUUAAAGCAAGAUGGAUUUCUGCUCUUAUUUGGUAUGUAUCUUCUACAGCCUGAUGGUCAAGCCAGCUUUUCCCUACAACUUCUUCACUUGUAGUCUAACAUGUGAUUUAAAGUGUAGUCAACUUUCCAGUAAAUGACUAUCAUGUGUAAGGUUCAAGACUACUUUUUUUGGAAAAAAAUGUUAUGAAUAAAUGCAUAUUUUACAGCUGUGGGUUGCAGUCAUUACACUUUUCAUUCAGAAAAAGAUUAUUUCAAAAUGUCAAAUCCUGGUUUUCCUGUACUUCCACAGCCAGAAAACUUUGAAUUUUCCAUUUGAAGCCAAUGGAAGUAAACUUUUCAUUUACAGGAAUUCAAGAAUCAAAGGACCUUCUGGGUCAUCCACGCCAGUUCUAUUCUUCCUUCAGACACCAAUGCACAAAGCAUCACAUUUCUUUUUAAGAUUUAAAAUACCAUAUUCGUAUUUUGUGCUAUAACUGAAGGAAGAGUACUAAGUGGAAGAUAUUAAGGGAACUUAACACUACCUUUUGUGAGUGCAAGUUAAUCAGAUAGUUAUCCACUUUCAUACCUCUUUCACAUUUAUAAGUCAAGGAAUUAUGCCAAAUCUGGUGGUCUGUAUGUAAUUGCAUCACACAGUUCUUGCACUAAAGAAUUAUUGUAGGGUUUAGAGGUCAGCAGGAUAUCAAUAAGAGUUUGAAUAAUAGAAUUUCAGCAAAUAAGUAAUCUUUCAUUCAACAUUUCUCUCUGAAUACCUUUUUCUAUUUGUGACGUGCCAGUACCACUGCGCUGCUAAGUCACCCAUAUUGUAACAGGAAUUUUCCAUAACUGCAGAAAUUCAGAAAUUCUGCCACUCCCAUUGCUCAUUAACCACUGCCCCAUCUUCAGCCAGAGUACAUUUGUUCAAAAGGGUGACAGCAGUUUAUUGCAGCUGAGGAUCAGCUGCAAAACAGAUAACCAGCUAAUGGGAAAGGCAGGUGAUUUCCAAAUUCAGCACUCAACAAAUACUUCAUCAUUACUGCUUUUGCACCCUGUCCUUGUUUUGGGACCAUGAUGUAUUAUAAGAAACCAGUAGUAUUCCAAAGAAAGUCAAUUAGCAAAACACUGUUCUAGCUGAUUUCUGUAUUUUGUGAAUUUGACUUCUAGAUCAGAUUGGCUUUCUUAUUGUCAGUUUUCAAAGUCAGAAUUAAAAACUGGGCACUGUUUUGUUUUAACCUUUCCCAGUGUGUCCCACACAGCUCUCUUGGUGAACCAGUAUGCUGGUCAUGCCCAAAGAGAUAUAAAUAAACGAGCUCAGCAUGGAAAUGAUGUAGAGGUAACUACACAUAGACAAGUGCUGUCAGCAGCUGCACAAAGGCUUUGUGUAUAAUCCAGUCUUUUACUCAGCAGACUGCAGAGAAGUGGCUACCAAACAGCUGGCUCUGACCUCAAUGCAGCCUUGCCAGAAGCGCAGAUAUUCCGAAUUACGGUUUGAGCUGAGGUAGUUUCCAGCACACAUACGUAAGUAGAGGGCUGUCUCACUGAGCAAUCUUCCAGAUUAUUUAUUAUCUGGUCACAUGAACCUUGGCAUAUGAGAUAAUCUGAAUGACUAAUAUUUCCAGUGAUUGUGGGCCAAAUUAGCUAAGAAUACACAUAACCACAUGCUUGCUGUGUGCAGUCAUGUUAAUUUACACCAGCCAAGUUUGUCUCUAAAGGUGAUGAAUUGUUUUUGUACUGAUAGCUGGGUAUUUCUAUUAAAAAAAAAAAAAACCUCUCUCUUUGCAAGAAAUUGCCUUAAAACGUGUCAGACACAAAAAAAGAGCUUUUUCUCUCUCUGCCAAAUAUGAGAGGAGAAGUAAAGAGAAUGUAAUUCAUUAGCAGAGAGAAGGUGUGCAGAAUUCAACAUGCACACCUAUUUCUCAGCAAAUCUGACUAGACUGGUACAUCCCCAUGCCCUGUGACCUUUUAUUAAGGGGAACUGAGUAAUGUUACUGUUCACCUCAGCAGCUGAAUAGCAGAACCUGUUGGGAAGCCACUGUCACAACACUUUUCUACCAGGAAAAUGGAAUUUUUCUGGCAAAUCCCUGGAUGUGUAAAUUUGUGUUGACUUCAAAUUUAAAAAAUGGAAUAGAAAUUUAUUUAAAAAUUCGCUUCUGGCACAUGCUGGAAAAUCUUUUUUUUUUUUUUGUAUUCAUAUAAUGAUUAUAUGUGUUAUAGUCAUUACUUUCUAUUUCUCAUCUGUAUCAAACUUUCAUUAUUUCUGCAUUAUUUUAAAACACAGCUGUCCUGAUAGCAAAAUAAUGUAACACAUGGCUCUCAUGUCAACAAAAAUAAUCCAAUAGGAAAUCAUAUGCAAAUAAAUGCACUAUUAAGUUGUAAAAUAAAUUGAACUUGAAAUAUUUAUUGUGUCAUAACAGAUUGAAAUAUUUCAAAACUAAUUUGUAAUGUAAUCUUUCCCAAAUUCUACUUCAUCAAAAAUUCAAGACUCAUUUUUUUCCACUGUCAUUUUCAAAGAAAACAACAUUUGGGAUAUGCACUUAAAAGCAAAAUAGUUGACAAAAAAUAAAGUAAUAAAAACCGCAAACAACAAACUUUUUAAAAAUUAUAAUAUUUAUUAGAAAUAAAUAUUGUGUUGUUUUAUUGAACAAUGUAUAAACAAUAAAGAAUAAUAAGCAGUAAUUUUGACCCAUAUUUCUCAGAAGGAAAGUGAGGCUCAGGGUGUUGUUUAUGUUUUUUGUUGGAAUUUUGAUUGCCAGUUCUAGCACAGAUAAAGCAUAUGGCUGAGCUGUGGAACCUCUGAAUUUGUCUUCCCUUUUCUAUCAAAUAGCUGUAUAGAUUUUUGUUUGCUUUUUUAUAUCUACACACACUGCUAAAACUAAAAAUCAAGAAGGGCACCCAAGAAACUCAGCCAAUAUUUAGCACAAGAUUGUCACAAUCUAUUUGGGGGACUGCAUGAAAUAAAAAAAGCCAAAAGAUCAACCAACUCAAAAGAAAUUUCACAGAAGAAUAUAUUUUGGCAAAACAAAUAAAUCUAUGAGUAGCAGGGCUAAUAAAGCAGGUCUGUGGAGGAGAGUUGGAAGCUGAGAAGCAGCAGAAAGGAAUGGGAAAUGAGGGUGAUAUAUGAGAACAACCAGGCAGCAUCAGGUCUGUUAGAAAUCCAAGUACUUUUCAUUAUUCAAUACCAAGUGCAAUGAAGAGAUGCUUGCUGUACUUCUGGUAGAGGUCCUCUGAUUGCCACAAUUUGUUCUUUUGAAGCACAAGAAAUGUAGCUCUUAAGGAAGAAUAGCUUGCAUUUUAAGGACUUUUUAAAAUCCAAAAUUGUUUAAACAUAGUCAGAUACAAUAAUAGCAUUAACAUAUACUGCUGAGUAUUUACAGAUCCAUGACCACAUGGCUCAGGUGUUUUGUGAAGAAUCACACAUUGAAUUUCAGAAAGAACCUGAAGCAUGUUCUGAUGGAGCAAUAAAUCAUAUGCAGAAGUAUUUUAAUGCUAAUAAUGCCUAUAAGAGAUGCCAUUAUGCACCUAACUUUCCAUCAUGGGCUGUGCUGUUAAGUAUUAGACUAAUAAAACACUUACUGCUCCCUAUGAUCUUGUAUUGCUCCAGUACGUUUAUAAUUUGCAAUAAUCUCUGAAUUAUCUCUGAUGCAAUAAGGCAAAUGUGUGGCUGGGGUAAAAUGUCAUAACUUUGGUGGGGAAGAGGACAUUUUCACACUGGCUGGGAAUCUGUCUCUAUAGAUAAAAUUUUGGCAAUAUUCACUGCUCUGGUGGCAUAGCUGGCUUUUGCUGCUGGCCAGAAUGUUCAGGAAGAGUUGGAGCACCACCAGUGUCUCAUAAAUUCACUCUUGUUUUUGCUCAACUUUGAAGCAACUUUUUUUUUUAAAUAUUUAUUAUAUUUGCUUCUUUAUUUCUUCCCCCAGGCUUAGGCUUUUUUUAUCUAAAAUAAGAGAUGUAUAAAAUCUGUCAUUUAAAGGCACUUCUACGCUUUGAUUAGUAUCAGCUGAAGCAUUAGUCAUCUGUUGUAGCUUCUGGAAUUCUUUAAAUUAUCCCUUUGCAAAUGCUAAAUGCCCUAAAGUUAGCAGCUUUUCCCUUCCCCAGUCUCUCUCUUCUAGAAAAAUCAAAGGCCAUUUCUCCAGGUAUUCCAUUUAAAAAGCCAUCUCACAGCAAGCAAAAAGUAAUAUGUAUAGUUGACUCUUUUCAUCUGAAACCAUCCGUAGCUAUAUUGACAUUAAAAUUAUGUGAAGGAAGAAAUAAGUGUCAUGCAUUGCUACAACAGAAUUUGAAUAUGUUUACCUACUCUACCAAGUAUAAGUAAUAACUGAGGAAGAAAAUACUACUGUCAUCACUUCCAGCACUGUGGACUGUGCAUAAGAUUCAAUGCUUACAGGUAAGAAAAGACAAAUAUUUUAUAAAUUUUUUUUUUUUUCUCAGUGUCCCCCAGCAGGGGCCAGAUCCCUGUUGUGCUGGAUGCCGUGAAAACGUACAGUGAAAGACACAAGACACCAUGAAAUCCUCCUUCCAAAAGGAAGUAAAAAAAGAGGAUUUCCACAGCAAUGAGCCUACAUCCAGCUAUUUUUGUGUCUGUGUCCCUUCAGCCAUUUUGCUGUGGGAAUUGCUGGUAUGUGGGACUCAGCAUCCAUUUCUCACUACGGGAGCCCCCUACUUUGACACAGCUGGUUAUUCAGCCCCUUUUGGUAUCUCUGGCAUCAGAGGUGGCAUGCCAUUCAUGAUAGAUUGCUUGAAUGAGAAAAAAUUAUGAUAAAAAUCCUCUGCAUGAAAUGAGACCACUAUGGAUGGUCACAGGUUCUGCUCAUUCUCUGUAGAGAAAAAUGCACAGUCCUCUGAAAUGAAAUAUUAGAACUGAAACAUUUAGCAGGGGGGAAUACUUAAAAUGGCCAUGAAAGUAUUCAUUUCUUUCCUGGGAAAGAAAUUUGCUUCCCUAGAAUGAUGCUAAUGGGAAGAGCCUGACAUCAGAGGCAAUGUUCUGGUGCUGCAAAGAGUUCCUUUGCAGAGUUUCAUUGCCUACUUUAAUGACUGCACUCGCUCACCUAAAAUGAAUGUGGUAUGUCUAACCUCCAAGCCAUGAUGUGAGAAGUUAUUUUUAUUUGCUAGAGCUGACUGUGCAAAAGAGAUGACUGUUCUCCUCGGCUGUUCACUUUCUGUGACAGAGCAGCAACCCACAGGCAAGAGAAAGAGAUUUCUGAUACCAGAGACAGCAUUUCUGCAUGCAAAUGGCUUUGCUGGCAUGCCAGCAGAAAUUCAUUGCACUGUUAAGCCACAGCAAGCAGGUACAAAGACACUGCUGCUUCAGGUGCUUUUCAAACAAACAAACCAAACAAAACAGAAACAAACAAACAAACAAAAAGCUUAUAACUCCUUCAGAGAAAAACAGGCCUUUCAGAGCAAUCAGAAUAAGCUCAAUUCAUCUUUGGCAAAAGAUGUAGUGAUAUACACACAGUAAUAUUUAAGUGCAAGAAGUGUUGAAUAUGUACAAGUGACUGGGUUGAUGCAUAGAUUUGUGUGCAAGGCAUUUUAAUUCCCUAAAAAUAUUAAUAUUCCCAUGACAUUCAUUGUAGGCAUUGCACAGCAAACAAUGCCUAGAACUCACAAACAUACAGCUACAAGUUCCUCCAGUGUGUACUGUGAGCCGUAAAUGUUCAAUUAUCUCAACUGGGUUUUACAAAGACGUUUCAGUGGGAGAAGGCACUGGGUAGAGGAUGGAGAGCUGGCUUAAGGAAAAAUAGGAAAGUAGCCUCCAUUAUCUUUGCAACACAUCAAGGAAAAAGGCUCUUCCUGCACACCUGAAGAAGCAAGACCUCUUCUGCAGGCUUAAGGAAGUGUUCUGAAAAGAGGGGGGAUGGGGGGGGGGGGGGGUCACUGCACAGUAGCCAAAACCUGAGUUUGCACCUCUGUUUACAGCUUAGCUUGCAAAAUCGCACAGCACAAAACAACUGAGCUCUGAGGCUUUCUCUGCUGGUUUCUCCAGAGGUGAUUUAUUCUGUAAAAUCUGUACCGUGUAACAUUUCCUGCCUUAAAAGCAAGUCAUGCAAAGUUAAUUACAUUGCACUAUGUUUGUGGGAAAAUACAUUUUACUACAAGUUAAUUUGAAGAAAAAAAUAUUAUAGAAUGAAUGCUAUAAAAGAAAUAGUUAUGAGUUGCUUUAACAGCAUUUAUAAAUCAAAUCACUGCACAUCAAUAACUUUAAAACCAACCUACAUCAAGUUUUUGGAACAAUGUAUGAGGGAAACAGUUUUUGAGUAGCCAUGUAUUUUUUAUAAGUUGUGGGUGGCAAAAAAUGUGGGUUAUUUUUUAAAAGUACAAAAAGGAAUUGUUUUCUUUCAUUUAUAAGACUUGAUGAUUUUUGCAUGUUCUGCUGUUUUCUGUGGCUUUUUGGAAGCACCACAGAAGCUAAAAUCCUUAGACCCUUUGUGAUGCUAUUUAAUUGAAAAUAUUUCUUACAAGAAAUCUUUAAUUACAUGCUUUCGUCUUUACACAGAGAUAGGAAUUUCAUCCAUACAAAUUAAUAAAUUGCAAGGAAAAAGGGGACUUUUGGUUAUCUAGGCUCACCUGCUUUUUUACACUGGCCAAAGAAGAGAUUUAUUCCUUGCUAAAUACUUCUUUCACUCAUUGAGCAAGAAACAUGCAUGAUCAUGUUUAAACUACAGAAUAUUUUCACAUAAAUGCAGUAUUGCUCUGCAUGUUAAAGAGUUGAACAUUGGCCCACAAGACACUCAACUCUUGCUUGCCAUCCUUGCCUGUAAAAAUAUGGGCCAAAUUUCUUGGCUAAAUUUUCCUAAGUGUGGCUUUCAGGCCCCAACUCUUGCAAGGCCUUUGGCUGCUUGGAUAAGAGCCUUUCUGCUCAGAGACAUCUUCUCCUGGGUCUGCCUCUCUGGGGAGCGGGGAAAAAAAGAAGGAAAACCCAGGAUGCUGUCCUGCAAACCGGCCCUGACACCUGGACUCUUGUCCUGUCAUGGGCAGUGUGUGGAGCAGCGGGCUGCUCAUACAGCUCCUCUACACUUCAGUGCCUACUCCCAGAACACCUCCUCCUGAGCAUUUAUAUACUGCUUUUAAGGACAGUUGCAGCCUAAGUUUAAAUAACUUUCUCUACUUCCCCUAGUUUGGGGACAUUUUGUAGAAUAACUGGGAAAAAAGCCCUGAAGCUGGUUUGGGAUUCUCCCCCAUGCCCCAAAAUCAGAAAUCUCUUCUCCAUGGUACAUCACCUCAGAAUCAAUUUCAAGAGCAAAUCUGGGGGAAAAGAUCUCAUGCUGCUAUUAUUUCUCUUCUAAAUUCUUUAAGUAACCCACUGGAAAAGCUUGUGUGCACCAAACCACUUGCAUAAUGUCAUAUCCAUAGCAGAGAAAGUCCCCAGAGCAGGUUGACAAUAUCAAAUAAAAGAAACUGUACUUCUAUAAAGAUUUUCAUGUUCACAGCAUGCUUGUGCAAAAUAAACUGCCACUGUUGCUGACUUAUGUGAAUUUAAGAUUAAGAACUUUGCAAGAUGAGGUAAUUUUCCUCCAAACCCAGCUCCUGUAGGAGAUGACUAUGGAACCAAAAUGUCUGGGAUUUUUCUCUUCUUCUGCUUCCUUUCAUUAUUUUUUUCUGCCUUUCCUGGUUGUGGAAAAGUCUGCAAUAUGGUGUGAACAUGUUUUAAAGGCUUAAAAAACAAGUAAGUAUUUAUUCUGUUCCUUGAAGUUAAAGACAAUAACAAUAAGUUAAAGACUUAUAAUAUAUGUGACUGAUCCUUCCCAAAAGUGUAAGAUAGGAAAGAAAACGAAAGGAAAUAAUGCUAGUUUUCCUUUUUUAAAUUGAGAAUUAAUUCAGAGACUUAAUUGUGCUGGAUUCAAAACUUUGGAUUGAUGCCAACUGAUUUUUCAAGAUGAUAGAAACCAAACACACCUUUUAUAAAAUCUUGAUAUUGCAUUGAGGACAGGAAAAUUUUUCUUGCUAAAUACCAGAACUAGUUAAAUGUACAAUAAUUUUGCAGAUUUUACAGAGCUCCACUAAUCUGAAUGGGAUUCAUAGGCACAUGCACGGAUCUCAGAGAAACUCAACCUCUUGGAAGCAGCUCCUGGUGUUUAACCACAGAGCAUUAAGCAUUGAAUCGCUCUGACUUAGUUUUUAUUGGGUGGAGAAAGAAAGGGUUCUUCUCUAUGCCAUUACAAUAGUUUUUCACUUUAGAUUUAUUAAUCUAAGAAUGUUUUAAAUACAUUUGCUAAAUCAUAAUAUUCUGAACCACUAGCAAUAUGCAAUAAGAAUCUAAAUACAUGCAUUUUAAAAUUUAUGGUUCCUAUUAUCUUCUAUUCUGGCAAGCAGUAAUUACAUGCAAACCAAAGAAAUUAAGUUAAUCAUAACUAUCUCACAAACAGGAAACAGGCCUUAGAAGUGUCAUGUUGGGCCUGUACCAGUUAUAUUGAAUUAAACAGAAAAUUAUGCAUAAUCCAGUACACCACUCUCCUGUUUGCUCUGACAGGAAACUGAAAUUAAGUUCACCAAUACUAACAAGUGUUCAUGGAAGAAACGAACUCAACUUCUAUAACUUCAGGGUUUACUUAGGGAUUAUCACAGCAAAUUAAGGGACUUAAACAGCCAGGUGAAUGAGCAUUCAGAAACCAAAUUCUUUAGGCAGUCUUGGAAACCUCAGCUUUGUGCUAUACUUGUACCGAUUCCUUGGUACUGUGCCAAAAAUAUUUUUUUUAAAGCCUCUGCUGCUGGCCAUGUAAAUUGAACAUAUAUUUCUGUUUCUGAGCAGAGACUUGCAGCUGUUCUUGCUACCCUGUGUGUAUUUACCUCUGAAUAGAGUUAUUUAGCAAUCACCACUCAUGUCUCUCUUUUCACCAUUACAGGGGCAGAGUUCAUAGUUUGGAGGAGGUGUAGAAAAUCUUCAGGGUCAGAAAAACUCAAAAUAAAGGUUAAAACACAGGUCUGAUAUCAUCCCAGUAGCAUGCAGCAUGAAAGGAUUCCUGAAACUUGGCUCUUGGCCUAAUGCUGUUUCUGUACUAUACAUAUUUUAAUGACAUUAUAGGAAAGCUCAAGAUAAGAAACAGAUUUAUCUUUCUUUUGAUCAAAACUUAAUUCUAAAUGUAUGUAGAUAAGCUAACAACUGUGUAAAUAUCACUCAAUAAAGUCAUGUGAAUACUACCGUCAAAA